RNA transcript from Pezoporus flaviventris, 2125 nucleotides. It is a transcript of the gene named rab-like protein 2A, with no coding region annotated. The transcript is spliced from 9 exons. The record is from RefSeq and is a predicted model, not a curated record. NCBI's taxonomy places the organism in Eukaryota, Metazoa, Chordata, Aves, Psittaciformes, Psittacidae.
GGCGGGGCCAUGGCGGAGGCGGCGGAGCAGGCCCGGGCCGAGGCGGCGGCCGGCGCGGAGGAGACCGUGAAGAUCAUCUGCCUGGGCGACAGCGCCGUGGGCAAGUCCAAGCUGCUGGAGAGGUUCCUGCUCCACAGCUUCUGCUCCCAGCAGCUCUCCACCUUCGCCCUGACGCUCUACAAGCACCGCGCCCGGGUGGACGGGCGGGCGGUCCUCGUGGACUUCUGGGACACAGCUGGACAGGAGAGGUUCCAGAGCAUGCAUGCAUCUUAUUACCAUAACGCUCAUGCUUGUAUCCUGGUGUUUGAUGUGCAGCGGAAAGUCACUUACAAGAACUUGAACAGCUGGUACAAGGAGCUGAGGGAAUUCCGUUCAGAGAUUCCGUGCAUUGUGGUGGCCAACAAAAUUGAUGCGGAUAUGAAGGUGACCCAGAAAAGCUUCAAUUUUCCCCGGAAGUUCAGUUUGCCCUUUUACUUUGUGUCUGCUGCAGAUGGCACCAAUGUAGUGAAGCUCUUCAAUGAUGCCAUCAAACUGGCAGUUGCUUACAAACAGAAUUCAGGAGAUUUCAUGGACGAGGUCAUGCGAGAACUGGAGAGCUUUGACCUGCAGAAAAGUGAGAAUUUGUUGGAUCAAGAGGAGAGCUGCCCUGAAGAGAAUCCCCCAUCUGCCUAAGCCCUGGACCCUGAGUCUGAGUUUCCCUUUGUUCUAGAUUUCUGGGGCUAAUUAAAGCUGGCCUUCAUAAAGGAAAGUGAUUUUUCUCUUGCCCUGAGAGCUCAGCUGGGGUUCUCCCACUCUUGUGGGAGAUUCUCUAGCCAUGACUUUUCUUGAUGUGGCCUGAGCUGCUGCGUAUCAUUGUCAAGGAGAGGGUGAGAAUAUCCACAAGGCUGCUGGUUACUGCUUGCUUCUUCAAGGCAAAGCUUGCCUGGAGAGUUCAGCCACUCUGGGACCUACAGGGAAGGGACCUGUCUGGAAGCUUUAAUGGUCUGCUAGAGCUGAAUCAGGUGGAAUCACACCCAGGAGGCUUGUCCUAUCCCAGCCUGAUGGAUGUGGCUGCUGCUGCUCCCAUGUGUGUGUUCAGGAUACUUGUGCUGCACAAGUCUAGUUUCAAGUUCACCAGUGCAUUGUACACACCUACAGGGAUCCCACCAGUAGCUGGCCUAAGACAUGUUGUGUUUCCAACUGCUGUCCCUGUAACCUCUGUGCCCUUCUUCCACUGUACCCUCACCCUCCUCUGAGCAGGCCCAUUUGAGUGACACCUCACAGAUAACUGAAGGGAGAGGUGGGAGCAUUUUAGGGAGAGGCAUCUGACAGGGACAGCACCACCCAGGCAGUGUGAUGGAAGUCCAAGGUGACCUUGCUGUCUGCACCUCAAACGUCAAAUCUGUUCACAAAUGCAGCAAAUCUCAGAGGAAGGUGGGGAAAAUAACCAGGGGCAGAUCACUUGUUUGGGACAAGAAAAGGGUGGAGAAAGAGGAGUCAAGGAGGAUGGGGGGAUGUAUAAGCAUGGAAAAUGGACAGAAACAGGGAUAAAGGAGCCAGUUACAGAUAAGCAACUGCUGAUUGUUUUGCUUGUUUGACUGAGCCUUGCACCUAAUCAUGGUCUGUCCAACCUUUUUGAGAGUGACUCCAGAUGCUGUUCUGAGUAGCCCCAGCCUGUACCUGGCUGCAGCAAUGGCAGAAGGAACAUAGGCCAUAGGGACCCAGCAGCUGGAAUCACCAGCCAGCUGCUGGUGGGAGUGCUCUGGGGGUGUGUGCAGUUCACUAGCGAACUUGAAGCUGGACCAGGUCACAAGCAAGAGGAGACAUAGAUCUGGAAAGACCCAAGGUCUGUGCCAGCUGCUGGGUAAGUAGCUUGACAUCCAGCCAGAGACAUUAACUGAAUUCCCAUGCUCAUAUUUAAGGAACCUAUGAACAUGCUGUGCUUGUGAAUCUAGGGAGUGAUUUGUGUGUAUGUUCCAGUCCUGAUCAGCUGGAGAGGAAGAUGAGUACUGGGUUCUGCUUUUUGUGUUAAGUGGGUUCUGGGAAAGGUCCUGCUCUAUGCUAUUUUGGUUUGCCGUUCAUGCCUUUGAAGUAUGUGUGCAUGUUCUUGAAUGUGAUCUGGCUCUUUAGAAGCCCAACUAAGCAA